UAGGGAAUCUUCGGCAAUGGACGAAGGUCUGACCGAGCAACGCCGCGUGAGUGAAGAAGGUUUUCGGAUCGUAAAACUCUGUUGGUAGAGAAGAACGUUGGUGAGAGUGGAAAGCUCAUCAAGUGACGGUAACUACCCAGAAAGGGACGGCUAACUACGUGCCAC
This 165-nucleotide ribosomal RNA is filed under the name uncultured bacterium. RNAcentral describes it as "partial 16S rRNA". It matches the Rfam family "Bacterial small subunit ribosomal RNA", at positions 355 to 511 of the family's 1533-position model. The record is from RNAcentral.